Molecule: ribosomal RNA, 725 nt
Filed under: uncultured bacterium
Lineage: Bacteria
Description: bacterial SSU rRNA
Rfam family: Bacterial small subunit ribosomal RNA
Source: RNAcentral
CCGGGGAUUACCCUUUGGAAAGAAAGAUUUAUUCCCGGAUGGGUUAAAGGAAGGCGCAGGUUUUAUUGUUAAAGAUUUUAUGGUAUAUUGUGGGGAUGCGUUCCCUUAAGAUUGUGGGUAGGGUAACGCCUUACCAAGUCAGCGAUGGAUUAGGGUUCUGAGAGGAAGACCCCUUACAUUGGAACUGAGACACGGUCCAAACUCCUACGGGAGGCAGCAGUGAGGAAUAUUUGUCAAUGGACGGGAGUCUGAACCAGCCAAGUAGCGUGAAGGAUGAAGGCUCUAUGGGUCGUAAACUUCUUUUAUACGGGAAUAAAGUGAACCACGUGUGGUUUUUUGUAUGUACCGUAUGAAUAAGGAUCGGCUAACUCCGUGCCAGCAGCCGCGGUAAUACGGAGGAUCCGAGCGUUAUCCGGAUUUAUUGGGUUUAAAGGGAGCGUAGGCGGGUACUUAAGUCAGUUGUGAAAGUUUACGGCUCAACCGUGAAAUUGCAGUUGAUACUGGGUGCCUUGAGUGCAGUAGAGGUAAGCGGAAUUCGUGGUGUAGCGGUGAAAUGCUUAGAUAUCACGAAGAACUCCAAUUGCGAAGGCAGCUUGCUGGACUGUAACUGACGCUGAUGCUCGAAAGUGUGGGUAUCAAACAGGAUUAGAUACCCUGGUAGUCCACACAGUAAACUAUGAAUACUCGCUGUUGGCGGUACACAGUCAGCGGCCAAGCGAAAGCGU